This 151-nucleotide small RNA is filed under the name Actinomycetota bacterium. Its description in RNAcentral is "Actinobacteria bacterium c-di-AMP sequence". It matches the Rfam family "c-di-AMP riboswitch aptamer (ydaO/yuaA leader)". From Rfam's summary of the family: This family represents a conserved RNA structure found upstream of the ydaO and yuaA genes in Bacillus subtilis and related genes in other bacteria. The ydaO/yuaA element is thought to act as a genetic "off" switch for the ydaO and yuaA genes in its native state. The record is from RNAcentral. Lineage: Bacteria; Bacillati; Actinomycetota.
UAUUUUAUUUAGACAUAUAGAAUAUAGAGAAAACGGGGGAGCCACAAUAGGAUCUAAAAAUUGAUCUUGGAGCCAAUAUCAAGUUUGAUUAGAUUAAGAUGACUCAGCCCAAACUCGACAGCUAACCUCGUAAUCUUGUUUGAGAAAAUAC